UCUUUUAUGGGGUGACUGCGUACCUUUUGUAUAAUGGGUCAGCGACUUAUAUUCUGUAGCAAGGUUAACCGAAUAGGGGAGCCGAAGGGAAACCGAGUCUUAACUGGGCGUUAAGUUGCAGGGUAUAGACCCGAAACCCGGUGAUCUAGCCAUGGGCAGGUUGAAGGUUGGGUAACACUAACUGGAGGACCGAACCGACUAAUGUUGAAAAAUUAGCGGAUGACUUGUGGCUGGGGGUGAAAGGCCAAUCAAACCGGGAGAUAGCUGGUUCUCCCCGAAAGCUAUUUAGGUAGCGCCUCGUGAAUUCAUCUCCGGGGGUAGAGCACUGUUUCGGCAAGGGGGUCAUCCCGACUUACCAACCCGAUGCAAACUGCGAAUACCGGAGAAUGUUAUCACGGGAGACACACGGCGGGUGCUAACGUCCGUCGUGAAGAGGGAAACAACCCAGACCGCCAGCUAAGGUCCCAAAGUCAUGGUUAAGUGGGAAACGAUGUGGGAAGGCCCAGACAGCCAGGAUGUUGGCUUAGAAGCAGCCAUCAUUUAAAGAAAGCGUAAUAGCUCACUGGUCGAGUCGGCCUGCGCGGAAGAUGUAACGGGGCUAAACCAUGCACCGAAGCUGCGGCAGCGACACUAUGUGUUGUUGGGUAGGGGAGCGUUCUGUAAGCCUGUGAAGGUGUACUGUGAGGUAUGCUGGAGGUAUCAGAAGUGCGAAUGCUGACAUAAGUAACGAUAAAGCGGGUGAAAAGCCCGCUCGCCGGAAGACCAAGGGUUCCUGUCCAACGUUAAUCGGGGCAGGGUGAGUCGACCCCUAAGGCGAGGCCGAAAGGCGUAGUCGAUGGGAAACAGGUUAAUAUUCCUGUACUUGGUGUUACUGCGAAGGGGGGACGGAGAAGGCUAUGUUGGCCGGGCGACGGUUGUCCCGGUUUAAGCGUGUAGGCUGGUUUUCCAGGCAAAUCCGGAAAAUCAAGGCUGAGGCGUGAUGACGAGGCACUACGGUGCUGAAGCAACAAAUGCCCUGCUUCCAGGAAAAGCCUCUAAGCAUCAGGUAACAUCAAAUCGUACCCCAAACCGACACAGGUGGUCAGGUAGAGAAUACCAAGGCGCUUGAGAGAACUCGGGUGAAGGAACUAGGCAAAAUGGUGCCGUAACUUCGGGAGAAGG
RNAcentral lists this ribosomal RNA (1161 nucleotides) under Escherichia coli. RNAcentral's name for it is "partial 23S ribosomal RNA". It matches the Rfam family "Bacterial large subunit ribosomal RNA", at positions 582 to 1746 of the family's 2925-position model. The record is from RNAcentral. Lineage: Bacteria; Pseudomonadati; Pseudomonadota; Gammaproteobacteria; Enterobacterales; Enterobacteriaceae.